UACGGGGGGUGCAAGCGUUGUUCGGAAUCAUUGGGCGUAAAGCGCGUGUAGGCGGCUUGGUAAGUCAGGUGUGAAAGCCCUGGGCUCAACCCAGGAAGUGCACUUGAAACUGCCUUGCUUGAGUACGGGAGAGGAAAGCGGAAUUCCUGGUGUAGAGGUGAAAUUCGUAGAUAUCAGGAGGAACACCGGUGGCGAAGGCGGCUUUCUGGCCCAAUACUGACGCUGAGACGCGAAAGCGUGGGGAGCAAACAGG
Molecule: ribosomal RNA, 253 nt
Filed under: uncultured bacterium
Lineage: Bacteria
Description: partial 16S ribosomal RNA
Rfam family: Bacterial small subunit ribosomal RNA
Source: RNAcentral